GACAUAAAAGCCUCUCUUUCGCGCAAGAUCGUCAAAUCCUUGAGUGUAGUUGGUGAGAUCUUUCCCUCAUGUGUGUUGGUGUUACAUUUUCGGUAUCUUUUCUACCGACUUCGUUGAGGGAGUCUAUGAGGUCAUUUGAGACAUCUUCUAUCAUCUUCAACCUUGUUUCUUUCUCUGCCAUCAUUAGUUUCUGUGGAGCCUGAAGAACAACGAUCGCUGUUUUUGAUAUCCUAGGUGAGAAAAUAUGAUUUCGACUACCGAAUUCCCCACAGAUCGCGCCAAAUUAUUUGACUCAAAAGUUAUUAAAUACUUUUUAAGCAAUUCAAUCAAAAGAGAUGAAGGGGUAAAUCGUAAUCGAGAAUAAUAAACCUUAGGAUAAUCUUGAUAUUUAGUAGGUUAGUAACAGUAAAAGAGAGAGAAGAAGAAGUAGAGAGAUGAGAGAGCAAGAGAGCUUGCAUAUUAAAAAUUGGCUGCCUAUUACAAGGCUUGGAUCCCCUUUAUAUAAUAGAGGAUCCUUACUUAGUUGUUGGAAUGACAAACCUAAGUACGUCCUAUAAUGGAAUCGAGAAUGGCACGAGGUCGUUUUUCCUCUUAUCCCUGGGCCGUCCCCCUGUAUCGGCUCAUAGAUAUUCGGUAGUCGGUCGUACGGACAUAGAAACGUAAUCGGUCAAAUUCGAUCACAUACAAAAACUAUGACUAUUUUUGAAUGACCACUUAAAAAUCUACCUAUUUUUGAAUUUCUCCCUCUCCAACAUGAUGUUUACUAAUCUCUAUCGAUUACUAAGGAGAGGGGAGAUGAUAAUACUCGGAAUAAAGAAAUAAAAAUAGGACGGACUUAAUUUUUAAUUUGAGUACCUUGCACCUCCUAUUAAAACAAAAUAGUAGUUCUAACAGUCAAUUAUUUGAGAAAGGCUUAUCCCAUAUUUGAUUGGUAGAAAAUUACGGUAUAAUUAUAGUAAUUUUUUAUUUCUAUGAAAAAAUAAAAUAAUUAAUUCUGGAAUAAUUUCUUUCCAACCAAACGACCCCUUAAUUUUUUAUAACUCCUAUUAUAACUUCAAUUUUCAAAUUUUAUUUUUCCCUAGUAAGUUUUCAACAAAGCAUAAAGAAAGACUUCCUUGGGAGCCAAAAACUGAACUAGUUGUAAUACAGGGGAAAAACGAGUAUUCUUUCCGACAGAUGAGAGGUAUUGGCAAAAGGCGUUAUUGAGGAAUAGCAGAAGGUAACUCGCGCCAAGUACGGACUCUAUAUGUGCAAAGACACACGUUUGGAUCAGUCCUAUUAAUUGCUGCAGCCUGCAGGGAUAAUUAUACAAGCCUUAUGCCGGCGUAAGCAUUCACCAGUCUUUUUCUUUUGAUUUGGCAGUCGAAAAGAAAGUGUGAGGUUUAUUUUGCCUAAGAAAGUGGGGGAUUUUGUUGCAACGGGAACAAUGGAAGAGAGCUGUCUUAUUAGCAAUAUAGGUCUAUUACUUGUUGGAAAUUGAAAUGAAGAUGCAGUGAUCAAGGUGAAAAUUAUUGCAGUAGAGUAAGAAAGAAAGAAUGACCCUUUUAAUAAGGGACCUCAAAACUGCCAAAGCAAU
Molecule: long non-coding RNA, 1576 nt
Filed under: Nicotiana benthamiana
Lineage: Eukaryota; Viridiplantae; Streptophyta; Magnoliopsida; Solanales; Solanaceae
Description: long non-coding RNA (NBEN_LNC032790)
Source: RNAcentral